Molecule: long non-coding RNA, 380 nt
Organism: Cydia amplana
Lineage: Eukaryota; Metazoa; Arthropoda; Insecta; Lepidoptera; Tortricidae
Exons: 2
Source: RefSeq, a predicted model, not a curated record
GUGGCCUGGAAAUGAAUCUAGACAAGACAAAAGUUAUGACAAAUACAGAUGUCAAGGCGAAUAUCACAGUUAACCAUACUGCCAUCGAAACGGUCGAUAAAUACGUGUAUUUGGGACAAGAGAUAGUGACUGGAAAGAAUAACCAAACCAAUGAAAUCAACAGACGCGUACGGCUAGCCUGGGCAGCCUAUUCCAAUCUCGAGUUUGCCUUCAAAAUGAAACUUAAGGCCGAACAAAAAGCACGCAUAUUUGAUCAAUGUAUCCUGCCUGUUCUCACUUAUGGAGCUGAAACCUGGGUUUUCACCAAAGGCAUAUUACAGAAAACUGGUGGGGAUCACAUUGAGAGACCGUAAAACGAAUGAGUGGCUGAGACAGCAGAG